UUUUUUGUCCGCCAACACUUAGAAAAAAAAUUGAUUAUUCCCUCUGUUUUUUUUCCCUUCUCUCAUCUCUAAAGCUGAAUUUUUUUUUCCUUAUUUCAUUCUAUCGAUGCUCUUCCAUCAUCUUCUUUAAUCAUAAACCUUGUUCAAAAUCAAAACUUAUGAACCUAAAUUCCAUGCCAAUCGAAGACACUAAGCUGAGAACCAAACCCUAAUAGUGCCUUCCUCUGUCGCUCUUCACCACCAUGGCUUGAAGAGAUAAGGUUGCAGAGGAUGUCAGUUAUUGAUAAAUGCUUAUGAAUUUCAAAGUUCUCGACGCCGUCUAGGUUUGUUGUCAGGGACGCUCUGCCAGUCUAUAGAAGUUGAAGAAGAAGACGAACAAGCUGUUCAGCUACGCUCUACCAGUUACUAUCACCACCAAAACUAGAUCUUCUUCUAGCUUUUCUCAAGGUGAAAACAAAGAGGGAUGAGUUUCCUUGGCCUUUUCAUCGGUUCUGCAGGUGUAUGUAUGGAGCAAAACAUAAUCCUUACAUUCACAUGAGUUUCCUUGGCCUUUUCACUUUUACAGCAUCUUAUUUACCAUGGGUACUACUUGGAUUCUCUGUCUUACUUACAUCAACUGCAAAGGACAUAAACAUGUUCUUUAAGGCUGUGUGUGGAGAGGUGUGUACAUAAAGUAGCUAACUUUGAUGAGUUUACAGGUCACUGGAACGGAUAUAAAACUCAUCGUUGAGUUUCUCAGGUUGUCUUUUGCUUUGAGUUCAUGUUUCAUAUCAAGAGCAAGAUAACCAAAAUGGGAUCGAAUUGCAGGCUGAUGAGAUUUCAAGGAUAUGUUUUUGCUCUCUUUUGUUGUUUGAAAAUGUAAGCUCUUUAUCUUAACAACAGGUGAUGCCUUGAUCUAUCUUAAAGCUGUCAAGGAUAUGUUGCAGGCUGAUAAGAUGACAAGGAUAUGUCUUAGAUGUGAAGUCUUAAUAUAACUGUUAUCUUGAUCCAUGGAUAUAUUCAACGUUACAGCUAUGCAUAGUCCAUGUUUCUCUCUGUUUGGCUUUUCUUGUUCGAUUCCUUAAGGUCUUUUUGUUGUUUUAAUUAUUUAUUGUAAAUUCUUUUUGAUUUCUUGACUUCAGAGUCUAUUUUUUUGUUGUUGUUAGCUUGAGCCUUCAAUGCCAUUUACUCCCUCGGUGAUGGAAGUGGCCAGAUCUUGUCUUUAUGGAUACAAUGGAACUACACCAGAGAAGCGUGUAGAUCAACAAGUGAACCCUGUGUCAUUGGUACCUUCCCUUGAGGCGGAGCUAGAGGAAGCACACACUCACAUUUUCGAGAAUGAGAAGCGGACUCACAGGAAGAAGCUUGAGCAGUUCUUGAGGAAAGUCAGUGAGGACAGGAGAUAGCUGCUUGGUGGAGCAGAGAGCACGAGAAGGUCCGAGCAAUCAUUGACGACAUGAAAUCUCGGCGACUGCAGCUGAAGAGAAAUUAUAAGGUAACCAAGAAGGAUGAUCCAAAGGUGACAGUUUUGAUGCAACAUGCUGAGGUUCUCAGUUAAUUGGCUCAGAAAAAUUAUACAGACAACACAGAACAAAACAUGGAGGAGCUGAUGGAGACUAUUGGCAAAGUGGUUUUGCAAGUUUUGAAAUUAUGUAGUGGGUUGAGUUUUAGACGUGGAAUGUAUAUCUUGGAUAAGUUAUGCUUUAAAUAAUUAUGUAUUUUUGGAUAAUUUAUGGAAUAUAAGAGUUAUAUAUAAAAUUUUAA
Raphanus sativus (radish) is the source of this 1743-nucleotide long non-coding RNA. RefSeq lists it as uncharacterized. NCBI's taxonomy places the organism in Eukaryota, Viridiplantae, Streptophyta, Magnoliopsida, Brassicales, Brassicaceae. The record is from RefSeq and is a predicted model, not a curated record. The transcript has 3 exons.